Long non-coding RNA from Sebastes umbrosus (honeycomb rockfish), 158 nucleotides. RefSeq lists it as uncharacterized. The transcript has 3 exons. The record is from RefSeq and is a predicted model, not a curated record. Lineage: Eukaryota; Metazoa; Chordata; Actinopteri; Perciformes; Sebastidae.
UGGUUUUCACGCCAACUUAAUGUCUGAUUUGCUGGACUGACUUAUAUGUUUGACUCAAAUGUUAAUAACGUUUAUUUCAAAGUCUUAACAACUUGAAACGCUUUUCUAUGCCAACAAAUACGAGUUAGAGUUUUUACAGUGUACAAUGAACAGUAGCA